AUUGAACGCUGGCGGCAGGCCUAACACAUGCAAGUCGAACGGUAGCACAGAGAGCUUGCUCUCGGGUGACGAGUGGCGGACGGGUGAGUAAUGUCUGGGAAACUGCCCGAUGGAGGGGGAUAACUACUGGAAACGGUAGCUAAUACCGCAUAACGUCGCAAGACCAAAGUGGGGGACCUUCGGGCCUCACACCAUCGGAUGUGCCCAGAUGGGAUUAGCUAGUAGGUGGGGUAAUGGCUCACCUAGGCGACGAUCCCUAGCUGGUCUGAGAGGAUGAACAGCAACACUGGAACUGAGACACGGUCCAGACUCCUACGGGAGGCAGCAGUGGGGAAUAUUGCACAAUGGGCGCAAGCCUGAUGCAGCCAUGCCGCGUGUAUGAAGAAGGCCUUCGGGUUGUAAAGUACUUUCAGCGGGGAGGAAGGCGGUGGAGUUAAUAACUUCACCGAUUGACGUUACCCGCAGAAGAAGCACCGGCUAACUCCGUGCCAGCCGCCGCCGUAA
RNAcentral lists this ribosomal RNA (504 nucleotides) under uncultured bacterium. RNAcentral describes it as "partial 16S ribosomal RNA". It matches the Rfam family "Bacterial small subunit ribosomal RNA", at positions 30 to 523 of the family's 1533-position model. The record is from RNAcentral.